Molecule: ribosomal RNA, 510 nt
Filed under: Bacillus subtilis
Lineage: Bacteria; Bacillati; Bacillota; Bacilli; Caryophanales; Bacillaceae
Description: bacterial SSU rRNA
Rfam family: Bacterial small subunit ribosomal RNA
Source: RNAcentral
UUUGAGAGUUUGGAAUAUGGCUCAGGACGAACGCUGGCGGCGUGCCUAAUACAUGCAAGUCGAGCGGACAGAUGGGAGCUUGCUCCCUGAUGUUAGCGGCGGACGGGUGAGUAACACGUGGGUAACCUGCCUGUAAGACUGGGAUAACUCCGGGAAACCGGGGCUAAUACCGGAUGCUUGUUUGAACCGCAUGGUUCAAACAUAAAAGGUGGCUUCGGCUACCACUUACAGAUGGACCCGCGGCGCAUUAGCUAGUUGGUGAGGUAACGGCUCACCAAGGCAACGAUGCGUAGCCGACCUGAGAGGGUGAUCGGCCACACUGGGACUGAGACACGGCCCAGACUCCUACGGGAGGCAGCAGUAGGGAAUCUUCCGCAAUGGACGAAAGUCUGACGGAGCAACGCCGCGUGAGUGAUGAAGGUUUUCGGAUCGUAAAGCUCUGUUGUUAGGGAAGAACAAGUACCGUUCGAAUAGGGCGGUACCUUGACGGUACCUAACCAGAAGCCCUGG